This 515-nucleotide ribosomal RNA is filed under the name uncultured bacterium. Its description in RNAcentral is "partial 16S ribosomal RNA". It matches the Rfam family "Bacterial small subunit ribosomal RNA", at positions 28 to 523 of the family's 1533-position model. The record is from RNAcentral.
GAUGAACGCUGGCGGCGUGCCUAAUACAUGCAAGUCGAGCGAAUGGAUUGAGAGCUUGCUCUUAUGAAGUUAGCGGCGGACGGGUGAGUAACACGUGGGUAACCUGCCCAUAAGACUGGGAUAACUCCGGGAAACCGGGGCUAAUACCGGAUAACAUUUUGAACCGCAUGGUUCGAAAUUGAAAGGCGGCUUCGGCUGUCACUUACGGAUGGACCCGCGUCGCAUUAGCUAGUUGGUGAGGUAACGGCUCACCAAGGCAACGAUGCGUAGCCGACCUGAGAGGGUGAUCGGCCACACUGGGACUGAGACACGGCCCAGACUCCUACGGAAGGCAGCAGUAGGGAAUCUUCCGCAAUGGACGAAAGUCUGACGGAGCAACGCCGUGUGAGUGAUGAAGGCUGUCGGGUCGUAAAACUCUGUUGUUAGGGAAGAACAAGUGCUAGUUGAAUAAGCUGGCACUUUGACGGUACCUAACCAGAAAGCCACGGCUAACUACGUGCCAGCCGCCGCGGUAA